GAUGAACGCUGGCGGCGUGCCUAAUACAUGCAAGUCGAGCGAACAGACGAGGAGCUUGCUCCUCUGACGUUAGCGGCGGACGGGUGAGUAACACGUGGAUAACCUAUCUAUAAUACUGGGAUAACUUCGGGAAACCGGAUCUAAUACCGGAUAAUAUAUUGAACCGCAUUGUUCAAUAGUGAAAGACGGUUUUGCUGUCACUUAUAGAUGGAUCCGCGCCGCAUUAGCUAGUUGGUAAGGUAACGGCUUACCAAGGCAACGAUGCGUAGCCGACCUGAGAGAGUGAUCGGCCACACUGGAACUGAGACACGGUCCAGGCUACUAAGGGAGGCCGCAGUAGGGAAUCUUACGCAAUGGGCGAAAGCAUGACGGAGCAACGCCGCGUGAGUGAUGAAGGUCUUCGGAUCGUAAAACUCUGUUAUUAGGGAAGAACAAAUGUGUAAGUAACUAUGCACGUCUUGACGGUACCUAAUCAGAAAGCCACGGCUAACUACGUG
This 497-nucleotide ribosomal RNA is filed under the name uncultured bacterium. RNAcentral's name for it is "partial 16S ribosomal RNA". It matches the Rfam family "Bacterial small subunit ribosomal RNA", at positions 28 to 507 of the family's 1533-position model. The record is from RNAcentral.